CUGGAGCUGUGCAUCAGGAUGUCGGCCAUGCACUGGGAGGCCAGGCGGCGUCAGAGCGCUCUGGACCGCAGGCUGGCCUGAGACCAACAGCAGCUGUUGCAGAAGAGUCCUGAGAGCAGCCACAACGCAACCGGAUCCAACACAACACGAGAACAAACCGCUGGAGACCAGUGUCCCCACUGUAAGGGCAUCCUGAAGACACCUGUCCAUCACAGCGCCAAGAUGUCCAACAGAUACUCAUCUUUACAGUACAGCCAGCAGUGGUGAAGAAGACGAGGAACACCCCCCCCACCCCCAGAUCCUGGACUCCUACAUUGGACUUGAAAGCUACUAUUUCCCUGUAUUCUUCAAACUCAUUCCCGGUCUUUGGUGUCCAGUGGGUGUCUCAAAUCUUCAUCCAUUGCUAAUAUGAAAGUAUUGAUUAGUGCAGCUUUAAAAGGAUUUUUUUUAGCAUUUUAUUGGCCAGUUAAAGCUUCAUUUGUUUGUAUUUUUAACACGGCUGCACCAUACGGAUAAAACUAUGGAGCCGU
Molecule: long non-coding RNA, 530 nt
Organism: Etheostoma spectabile (orangethroat darter)
Lineage: Eukaryota; Metazoa; Chordata; Actinopteri; Perciformes; Percidae
Exons: 4
Source: RefSeq, a predicted model, not a curated record